GUCAUGCUUGAAGUCACUGGGAGAGAGAAAAACUCUCAGUUUUUCUCUCAGUGCCAGCCUAAUUUCAUAUUCUCCCUCCUCUCCACGUAUUUACAGUUUUCCUCUUUUAUUUUUCCUUAGAAAUCUGCCCAAGUGAGGCUGCAGGAGUAAUUCUGAGCAGCCAGGGCCUGAUUAUCAGUCCUGCCCACAGAGAAUUCCCUCGGGUGCUGCCUUCUCUUUGCUUCCCAAUAAAUAUUUUUAUUUAUUGCUGUUAGGAGGGACCUCACUGCAGCCUCUCCCCAGUGGUUUUUCCAUGACUUAAAGCCAGGAAAUCUCCAGUGAACCUUAACAGAAGGGUCAAGCUGGAGGCUGUUCAGGUGAAAUGAAAGGGAAUGUGAGCCCCUGCUCUGCUCACGCUCCUGGCAGGAAUUCUGCAGGAAUUCGCUGCAGAUCAGCGAGGAUUCAUCAAAGUUGCAUCAAGUUGAAAGAGUGCCCAAGGGUGCUGCCUGGGAGCUCCAGCAGCUUUUUCUGCACAAAACAACUCUCUCUGCCCUUUGCUUUUCUAAUCCCAAACUAGCCUGGGGCUCCGGUUCACCUUCUGGAGGAGCAGCUCCGCCACCUUCCCAAGCGGCUGCUGCAGAGAGA
Molecule: long non-coding RNA, 624 nt
Filed under: Cyanistes caeruleus (blue tit)
Lineage: Eukaryota; Metazoa; Chordata; Aves; Passeriformes; Paridae
Description: lncRNA (ENSCCEG00000007152.1)
Source: RNAcentral